AAAGGAAGAAGAUCUAAGAAUGCUUCUUUAAGAAGCUUUCUUGAUGGAGGGGAGUGGCAGACGGGUGAGUAACGCGUGGGAACAUACCCUUUUCUACGGAAUAGCUCUGGGAAACUGGAAUUAAUACCGUAUACGCCCUACGGGGGAAAGAUUUAUCGGGGAAGGAUUGGCCCGCGUUGGAUUAGCUAGUUGGGGGGGUAAAGGCCUACCAAGGCGACGAUCCAUAGCUGGUCUGAGAGGAUGAUCAGCCACAUUGGGACUGAGACACGGCCCAAACUCCUACGGGAGGCAGCAGUGGGGAAUAUUGGACAAUGGGCGCAAGCCUGAUCCAGCCAUGCCGCGUGAGUGAUGAAGGCCUUAGGGUUGUAAAGUUCUUUCACCGAUGAAGAUAAUGACGGUAGUCGGAGAAGAAGCCCCGGCUAACUUCGUGCCAGCCGCCGCCGUAA
RNAcentral lists this ribosomal RNA (446 nucleotides) under uncultured bacterium. Its description in RNAcentral is "partial 16S ribosomal RNA". It matches the Rfam family "Bacterial small subunit ribosomal RNA", at positions 65 to 523 of the family's 1533-position model. The record is from RNAcentral.